Molecule: long non-coding RNA, 5902 nt
Organism: Acipenser ruthenus (sterlet)
Lineage: Eukaryota; Metazoa; Chordata; Actinopteri; Acipenseriformes; Acipenseridae
Exons: 3
Source: RefSeq, a predicted model, not a curated record
AGAGGAGAGGGGAGAGAGGAGAGAGGAGAGGAGAUAGGAGAGAGGAGAGGAGAUAGGAGAGAGGAGAGGGAGGAGAGAGGAGAGGGAGGAGAGAGAGAGGAGAGAAGAGAAGAAAGGAGAGAGAGCAGGGGCAAAAGAGGAGGGGAACAGUGAAAUACACACAGAUGCUGUCAAACACACACACACAGGCACACACACACACACACAUACACACACACACACACACGCACACGCACACACACACACGCGCGCGUGUGCGCACACACACACACACACACACACACACACAGUACAGAGGCAUCCUGCAUUGAACUGUAUUGAAACUCAUUGAACUGUAUUGAAACUCAUUGAACUGUAUUGAAACUCAUUGAACUGUAUUGAAACUCAUUGGUCUGUUUUGAAAUGGGUCUGUUUCAUUGGGACUGGGAUAUUGCAACAGUAUUGGAAUCUGUGCUGUGUUGUGUGUCUCUGUGUGUGUUCCCCUGUGUUGUGUGUGUCUGUAUGUUGUGUUGUGAAUCUGUUUUGUUCUGUGAGUGACAGAGUGAGAGAGCGAGAGAGAGAACGAGAGAGAAGGGGGAGGAAGUCUGGAUACCUGGGAUAGAUAUACAGACAGACAGAUAGAUAGACAGAUAGACAGACUGAUAGAUAGACAGACAGAGCCCCACAAUCCUGUUCAGUUUGACGCUACAAUAUAAUCCCUUCUUCUUGGUGUCUGUGUUAGUUUACUACAUUCUGAAAAGAGUUUAGUUUCAUUAAAGCUGCAGACAGACAGACAGACAGACAGACAGACAGAGCCCCACAAUCCUGUUCAGUUUUGACGCUACAAUAUAAUCCCUUCUUCUUGGGGUCUGUGUUAGUUUACUACAUUCUGAAAAGAGUUUAGUUUCAUUAAAGCUACAGACAGACAGACAGACAGAGCCCCACAAUCCUGUUCAGUUUUGACGCUACAAUAUAAUCCCUUCUUCUUGGGGUCUGUGUUAGUUUACUACAUUCUGAAAAGAGUUUAGUUUCAUUACAGCUGCAGACAGACACACAGACAGACAGACAAACAGACAGACAGACAGAUAGACACACAGACAGACAGACACACAGACACACAGACACACAGACACACAGACAGACAGACAGACAGACACACACACACAGGCAGGCUCUCCAGUCUAGUACACAGUCAGGUCUCUCCGUGUGUGAGUGUCUGUGUGUCUCUCUGUCCGUCUGUCUGUGAAACCCUUCCUCCUCCUCCUCCUCCUCCCCCUCUCCCUACGUCCAACCCCCCUCCCGCCCUGCGUCCCUCCCUCCUUCUCCUCCAUCCUCUCGUUCCCCCCUUUCUGUGUCUGUCCGUUGACGUUUUUGUUUUUCUAAAUCUUAAUUUCUCGUGUCUGUCAUUUUCUAACCAAUCAAAAUUCACUCCUCCCCCCUGCCCCGCCCCCUGCCCCGCCCACUGUCAACAAGCAGUGGAAGAGAGCAUUGUGGGAAUGAGCAAGCAAAGGAUUCUGGGUGGCAGAGAAUAACAGCUGAGCAAGGGUCGAUGCCUGCCCCUCGUAGUGUAACAAAAGUAUAAGGAGGGAGCCGGAUGCGAGAAAUCCCGAAGCCUGAAUAACAUCGCGGGGAUGACGGGGAACUCCAUGAGACUGACUCCGGUCACAAACCCGCCGUUUGAACCCUACGAGGCACCGGGGCCGCUGCGCCGCUGCCGGUCCCCCAUCCCGUCCAUAUUAUAGCAUGGAUCCACGUCACCACCCCCCCAAAAAAAACAACUAAUAUGCAAACACAUCACCCCGCUGAGCAACACAAAAUAAAAUGCAAACUCCGUGAGAGGAUUUAGAUUUAGGAAGUAACUGAACGCGAAUAAGAAAAUGCUGUGAAAAAACUAUUUUAAAAUUGUUAUUAUGAAAAUUAUCAGCGCCCCCUUGAAGACUCCCCCCCCCCCCCCCCCCCGACACGCAAAUAGAAAUCUGUAAACUUAUAUUGCUUGAACAAUAUUCAGCACCAAAGCAAGGUAUUAUCAUAGCAUUAUAUACAGUGUAUGAUAUUGGACUGCAACUAAAUACAUUUCAAUGCAAAAUGAAUCCGUGCUGCUGUGAAUCAUCCAGGGGGCCAGGGGGCGCUGUCUGCUGUUCUUUGAUCUGCUUAAAAUGACUUUAAAAAAAGGAGUACUGGGGGGCGUGGCUUUAAAGGGCGUGGCCUACGCUUCCCUCUCAAACUUCUUUCCUUCCUGCUCCCGCCAGCCGUGUUGCAUCCUGGGACUUGUAGUUUUUUUCUUUCUUUCUGUGUAGGCGGUGCGUGAUGAGAUCUCUCUUCAAAAACAAUAUCUGGAUUUUAAUUUUGGAGAGAUUUAUUUGUUUUUGCUUGUUUUCGAAGACUCCAGAAUGUUUUUUUUUUUUAAAAAAAGGAGCGACGAUGGGGAAAAAAUGAACGGAAAAUGAAAGGAAGGAAAGAAAGAAAGGAUGAAAGGAAAGAUUCUUGCUCAAGAACUGGCUGAAAUGCGAGCCUUUUAUUAAUCUGAGGACGAUUCUGCCUCGAUAGCGCUGGCAAACGUUUUGUUUGUAAUUUACCAACGAAUUCCUCUAUCUCUUUGGGGAUGGGCGAUAUUUUGAAUAUCGGUUUCUUUUUGUUGUGUUUCGAUAUUGGUUUUUUAUUCGAUUUACUUGCACAUUUGUUCGAGGUGUUUGAGUUACAUUCGCUAAACUUUUAAGCAUGUCUAAAAACAUCACUACGAAAUCACAUUUCACAAACGACUGCACAGCGUUUAACUGGAUAUUAAAAACACUGAACGGAACGACCCACACUCUACAGCGAUGGCCAAAGGGUUUGCAUCACCACCCGAUAGUAUAAACUCAUUUUUUGCUGGCUGGGACUACAGCUCCCAGCAUGCCUCUGCACCCGCGGCCAUGGCGAGGCAUGCUGGGAGCUGUAGUUCUUUAUGCUGCGGUCUCCUAUCACAAGCGAUACAGACCUCUAUUACGACACAUCAUGUAAAGAAAGCAUCGCGAUUCAUCGAGACACAGUGAAUCGCUCCAGCCCUGGCUAUAGGACUACAGCUCCCAGCAUGCCUCUGCACCCGCGUCCAUGGCGAGGCAUGCUGGGAGCUGUAGUUUUUUAUGCUGUGGUCUCGUAUCACAAGCGAUACAGACCUCUAUUACCAUACAUCAUGUACAGCUAUGGCCAAAAGUUUUGCAUCAUCCCCCUCUAUUAGAAUGAACUGAUUCAGCUUCAUAGAGUCCAAUGAAAGCUGCUGAAUAAUGUUCCCUUGUUAACAUAUUGAAUUCCACCCCCUCUAUAUAGAAUGAACUCCCUCAGCUUCAUAGAGUCCAAUGAAAGCUGCUGAAUAAUGUUCCCUUGUUAACAUAUUGAAUUCCACCCCCUCUAUAUAGAAUGAACUCCCUCAGCUUCAUAGAGUCCAAUGAAAGCUGCUGAAUAAUGUUCCCUUGUUAACAUAUUGAAUUCCACCCCCUCUAUAUAGAAUGAACUGAUUCAGCUUCAUAGAGUCCAAUGAAAGCUGCUGAAUAAUGUUCCCUUGUUAACAUAUUGAAUUCCACCCCCUCUAUAUAGAAUGAACUCCCUCAGCUUCAUAGAGUCCAAUGAAAGCUGCUGAAUAAUGUCCCCUUGUUAACAUAUUGAAUUCCACCCCCUCUAUAUAGAAUGAACUCCCUCAGCUCCAUAGAGUCCAAUGAAAGCUGCUGAAUAAUGUUCCCUUGUUAACAUAUUGAAUUCCACCCCCUCUAUAUAGAAUGAACUCCCUCAGCUUCAUAGAGUCCAAUGAAAGCUGCUGAAUAAUGUUCCCUUGUUAACAUAUUGAAUUCCACCCCCUCUAUAUAGAAUGAACUCCCUCAGCUUCAUAGAGUCCAAUGAAAGCUGCUGAAUAAUGUUCCCUUGUUAACAUACUGAAUUCCACCCCCUCUAUAUAGAAUGAACUCCCUCAGCUUCAGAGUCCAAUGAAAGCUGCUGAAUAAUGUUCCCUUGUUAACAUAUUGAAUUCCACCCCCUCUAUAUAGAAUGAACUCCCUCAGCUUCAUAGAGUCCAAUGAAAGCUGCUGAAUAAUGUUCCCUUGUUAACAUAUUGAAUUCCACCCCCUCUAUAUAGAAUGAACUCCCUCAGCUUCAUAGAGUCCAAUGAAAGCUGCUGAAUAAUGUUCCCUUGUUAACAUAUUGAAUUCCGCGCAGCUUUGUAUUUUUCCGGAGACUUCACUUAACAAUUGAAAAUUGAAAAUAUAUCUAUAUUUAAUUCUGCCUCAGUUCUGAAGUUGUAGGUGAUAUAAACGUUUUGACCAGAGCUGUAGUUCUCUCUCUCUCUAUAUAUAUAUAUAUACACUGCUAUUUUUUUAAGAGAACAUUUUAAACAGUGUACAUUCUAAACGUGCGCAUUCUAAACACUGUACCUUCUAAACGUGCGCAUUCUAAACACUGUACAUUCUAAACGUGCGCAUUCUAAACGUGCGCAUUCUAAACACUACAUUCUAAACACUGUACAUUCUAAACGUGCACAUUCUAAACGUGCGCAUUCUAAACAUGCGCAUUCUAAACACUGUACAUUCUAAACAGUGCGCAUUCUAAACGUGUCACAUCACCGUAGUUUCUGUGCAAAUGUGAUAAGUAUACUGUUUAUUUUUUUUCUGAACGAUCUACAUACUCAGGUCUUGAACCCAUAUCAUAACAAUAUUACUCUCUCUCUCUAUAUAUAUAUUAAUACUUAGCUAGGUAUAGAUAACGAGAUAGAAACAUAGACAGGGAUAGAAAGCUAGUUCUAUUAAGAUUAAGGCAGUUGUUUUUUUUUGUCUAAGGCGAUAUUACUGAGAGAAAAAUGCAUUUUUAACGAUUGAGACCCUCCUCCCCUCUCCCCCCCCCCCCCCCCCCCCCCCAUUCACUCCCAUACGUCGUAGUUUUCAUAAUAAUUAAUAAUUUCUGUUCUCUUAUCGUGCACGGACUUCCAAUGCAAGCAAUAAUACAAGAUUCUAUAUGAAAUACGUUUUUAAAAAAAAUGAAAAUGUAAAAAAAUAUGUAUAUAUAUAGUGAAGGCAAAUAUAUAUAGAUAGCUAGCUAUAUUUAUAUUGGUAUAUUAUAGACUAAAGUGGGUUUACUGGACGAUUGAAUUAGAAAAUUCUCAUGAAUUCAAUGACUAACGACUAGAAGACUUUCUCAGUGUCUUCAGUGUGAAUUCAAUGACUAACGACUAGAAGUCUUUCUCAGUGUCUUCAGUGUGAAUUCAAUGACUAACGAAUAGAAGUCUUUCUCAGUGUCUUCAGUGUGAAUUCAAUGACUAACGACUAGAAGUCUUUCUCUGUGUCUUCAGUGUGAAUUCAAUGACUAACGACUAGAAGUCUUUCUCAGGGUCUUCAGAGUGAAUUCAAUGAGAAACGACUAGAAGUCUUUCUCAGUGUCUUCAGUGUGAAUUCAAUGACUAACGACUAGAAGUCUUUCUCAGUGUCUUCAGAGUGAAUUCAAUGACUAACGACUAGAAGUCUUUCUCAGUGUCUUCAGUGUGAAUUCAAUGACUAACGACUAGAAGUCUUUCUCUGUGUCUUCAGUGUGAAUUCAAUGACUAACGACUAGAAGUCUUUCUCAGGGUCUUCAGUAUGAAUUCAAUGACUAACGACUAGAAGUCUUUCUCAGUGUCUUCAGUAUCACAUCAUUUGGACUGGAAGACUUCUCAUUGAAAUGCGAUUGAAAAGGAAUUCACUAUUUUUUAUUAAUUAAUCAACACGUAGAUGGCAAUAAUUCAUAUCAGUGUCAAUAUAAUAUAUAUAUAUAUAUAUUUGCCUUCAUGUAUAAUGUUAUGUAAAUUAUGUAAAUUAGAUGCAAGGGGGCGGGGACUAUAUGCAAGUGCUGCAUGAUGAUUGGUUAUGUACUGAGCUUGAAUAGAAUGGAUUGUUUGACUCUGGAAGAGACCAUGUUGACUGUAAAA